This 497-nucleotide ribosomal RNA is filed under the name uncultured bacterium. RNAcentral describes it as "partial 16S ribosomal RNA". It matches the Rfam family "Bacterial small subunit ribosomal RNA", at positions 28 to 507 of the family's 1533-position model. The record is from RNAcentral.
GAUGAACGCUGGCGGCGUGCCUAAUACAUGCAAGUCGAGCGAACAGACGAGGAGCUUGCUCCUCUGACGUUAGCGGCGGACGGGUGAGUAACACGUGGAUAACCUACCUAUAAGACUGGGAUAACUUCGGGAAACCGGAGCUAAUACCGGAUAAUAUAUUGAACCGCAUGGUUCAAUAGUGAAAGACGGUUUUGCUGUCACGUAUAGAUGGAUCCGCGCCGCAUUAGCUAGUUGGUAAGGUAACGGCUUACCAAGGCAACGAUGCGUAGCCGACCGGAGAGGGUGAUCGGCCACACUGGAACUGAGACACGGUCCAGACUCCUACGGGAGGCAGCAGUAGGGAAUCUUCCGCAAUGGGCGAAAACCUGACGGAGCAACGCCGCGUGAGUGAUGAAGGUCUUCGGAUCGUAAAACUCUGUUAUUAGGGAAGAACAAAUGUGUAAGUAACUAUGCACGUCUUGACGGUACCUAAUCAGAAAGCCACGGCUAACUACGUG